GUUUGAGUGUAACGAGUGCGGGAAAGCCUUUA
Molecule: non-coding RNA, 32 nt
Filed under: Mus musculus (house mouse)
Lineage: Eukaryota; Metazoa; Chordata; Mammalia; Rodentia; Muridae
Source: RNAcentral